AGGACGAACGCUGGCGGCGUGCCUAACACAUGCAAGUCGAGCGGAGGUAGUUGAUGGUAACUGAUAGCUACUUUAGCGGCGGACGGGUGAGUAACACGUGGGCAACCUGCCUCGAAGAGGGGGAUAACACCGAGAAAUCGGUGCUAAUACCGCAUAACAUACAAUUGCCGCAUGGUAAUUGUAUCAAAGGAGCAAUCCGCUUUGAGAUGGGCCCGCGGCUGAUUAGCUAGUUGGUAAGGUAAAGGCUUACCAAGGCGACGAUCAGUAGCCGACCUGAGAGGGUGACCGGCCACACUGGAACUGAGACACGGUCCAGACUCCUACGGGAGGCAGCAGUGGGGAAUAUUGCGCAAUGGGGGGAAAAACCCCUGACGCAGCAACGCCGCGUGGAGGAAGAAGGUCUUCGGAUUGUAAACUCCUGUCUUCCGGGACGAUAAUGACGGUACCGGAGGAGGAAGCCACGGCUAACUACGUGCCAGCCGCCGC
RNAcentral lists this ribosomal RNA (486 nucleotides) under uncultured bacterium. RNAcentral's name for it is "bacterial SSU rRNA". It matches the Rfam family "Bacterial small subunit ribosomal RNA", at positions 26 to 518 of the family's 1533-position model. The record is from RNAcentral.